GAACGGAAAGGCCUCUUCGGAGGUACUCGAGUGGCGAACGGGUGAGUAACACGUGGGUAAUCUGCCCUGCACUUCGGGAUAAGCCUGGGAAACUGGGUCUAAUACCGAAUAGGACCAUUUAGCGCAUGCUUUAUGGUGGAAAGCUUUUGCGGUGUGGGAUGGGCCCGCGGCCUAUCAGCUUGUUGGUGGGGUGACGGCCUACCAAGGCGACGACGGGUAGCCGGCCUGAGAGGGUGUCCGGCCACACUGGGACUGAGAUACGGCCCAGACUCCUACGGGAGGCAGCAGUGGGGAAUAUUGCACAAUGGGCGCAAGCCUGAUGCAGCGACGCCGCGUGGGGGAUGACGGCCUUCGGGUUGUAAACCUCUUUCAGCAGGGACGAAGCGCAAGUGACGGUACCUGCAGAAGAAGCACCGGCCAACUACGUG
This 428-nucleotide ribosomal RNA is filed under the name uncultured bacterium. RNAcentral's name for it is "bacterial SSU rRNA". It matches the Rfam family "Bacterial small subunit ribosomal RNA", at positions 64 to 507 of the family's 1533-position model. The record is from RNAcentral.